ACGCGGUAAACGAUGGAUGCUCGCUGUAUGCCUUUAGGGUAUGUGGCCAAGGGAAACCAUUAAGCAUCCCACCUGGGGAGUACGCCGGCAACGGUGAAACUCAAAGGAAUUGACGGGGGCCCGCACAAGCGGAGGAACAUGUGGUUUAAUUCGAUGAUACGCGAGGAACCUUACCCGGGCUUGAACUGCAGGUGAACGAUCCAGAGAUGGUGAGGCCCUUCGGGGCACCUGUGGAGGUGCUGCAUGGUUGUCGUCAGCUCGUGCCGUGAGGUGUCGGCUUAAGUGCCAUAACGAGCGCAACCCCUUUCAUUAGUUGCCAUCAGGUCAUGCUGGGCACUCUGGUGAUACUGCCACCGUAAGGUGUGAGGAAGGUGGGGAUGACGUCAAAUCAGCACGGCCCUUACGUCCGGGGCUACACACGUGUUACAAUGGCGCAUACAGAGAGUCGGUUCCGGGCAAUCGGAAUCUAAUCAAUAAAGUGCGUCGUAGUUCGGACUGGGGUCUGCAACCCGACCCCACGAAGCUGGAUUCGCUAGUAAUCGCGCAUCAGCCAUGGCGCGGUGAAUACGUUCCCGGGCCUUGUACACACCGCCCGUCAAGCCAUGAAAGCCGGGGGCACCUGAAGUCUGUGACCGCGAGGGGCGGCCUAAGGUGAAACUGGUAAUUGGGGCU
This 672-nucleotide ribosomal RNA is filed under the name uncultured equine intestinal eubacterium sp. CL05. Its description in RNAcentral is "bacterial SSU rRNA". It matches the Rfam family "Bacterial small subunit ribosomal RNA", at positions 797 to 1482 of the family's 1533-position model. The record is from RNAcentral.